This 327-nucleotide unclassified non-coding RNA is filed under the name uncultured fungus. RNAcentral's name for it is "sequence contains 5.8S rRNA gene". Lineage: Eukaryota; Fungi. The record is from RNAcentral.
GAACGCACCUUGCGCUCCUUGGUAUUCCUUGGAGCAUGCCUGUUUGAGUAUCAUGAAAUAUUCAAAGUAAAAUCUUUUGUUAACUCGAUUGGUUUUGCUUUGGUCUUGGAGGUUUUUUGCAGGUUCACACCUGCUCCUCUUUGUGCAUUAGCUGGAUCUCAGUGUUAUGCUUGGUUCCACUCGGCGUGAUAAAUUAUCUAUCGCUGAGGACACUGUAAAAAGUGGCCAAGGUAAAUGCAGAUGAACCGCUUCCAAUAGUCCAUUUAUUUGGACAAUACAAUUUAUGAUCUGAUCUCAAAUCAGGUAGGACUACCCGCUGAACUUAAG